CUAAUACAUGCAAGUCGAGCGCGGAAGCCGGGACAGAUCCCUUCGGGGUGGCGACCGGUGCGAACGAGCGGCGGAUGGGUGAGUAACACGUGGGCAACCUGCCUGUAAGCCUGGGAUAACUCGCGGAAACGCGAGCUAAUACCGGAUGCGCCUUUUGUUCGCAUGAACGAAAGGUAAAAGGCGGCUUUUGCUGUCACUUACAGAUGGGCCCGCGGCGCAUUAGCUAGUUGGUGAGGUAACGGCUCACCAAAGCGACGAUGCGUAGCCGACCUGAGAGGGUGAUCGGCCACACUGGGACUGAGACACGGCCCAGACUCCUACGGGAGGCAGCAGUAGGGAAUCUUCCGCAAUGGACGCAAGUCUGACGGAGCAACGCCGCGUGAACGAUGAAGGCCUUCGGGUCGUAAAGUUCUGUUGUUAGGGAAGAACAAGUAUUGUUCGAAUAGGGCAGUACCUUGACGGUACCUAACCAGAAAGCCACGGCUAACUACGUGCCAGCAGCCGCGGUAAUACGUAGGUGGCAAGCGUUGUCCGGAAUUAUUGGGCGUAAAGCGCGCGCAGGCGGUCUUUUAAGUCUGAUGUGAAAGCCCCCGGCUCAACCGGGGAGGGUCAUUGGAAACUGGAAGACUUGAGUGCAGAAGAGGAGAGCGGAAUUCCACGUGUAGCGGUGAAAUGCGUAGAGAUGUGGAGGAACACCAGUGGCGAAGGCGG
Molecule: ribosomal RNA, 711 nt
Filed under: uncultured bacterium
Lineage: Bacteria
Description: bacterial SSU rRNA
Rfam family: Bacterial small subunit ribosomal RNA
Source: RNAcentral